CCUACGGGUGGCAGCAGUGGGGGAUAUUGCACAAUGGGGGCAACCCUGAUCCAGCGAAGUCGCGUGGGUGAUGAAGCCCCUACGCGCUUUAAGCCUCUUUAGCCGGGAAGAAAAUGCCGCUACUUGAAGAAGAAGCACCGGCGAACUACGUACAAGCAGCCGCGGUAAUCCGUCGGGGGCCAGCGUUAUACGGAUUUAUUGGGUGUAAAGGGUGCGUAGGCGGAAUGCCAAGUCAGCGGUAAAAGCGCGGGGCUCAACCUCGAUCCGCCGUUGAAACUGGCGGUCUUGAGUGGGCGAGAAGUAUGCGGAAGGCGUGGUGUAGCGGUGAAAUGCAUAGAUAUCACGCAGAACUCCGAUUGCGAAGGCAGCAUACCGGCGCCCAACUGACGCUGAAGCACGAAAGCGUGGGUAUCGAACAGGAUUAGAUACCCUUGUAGUC
Molecule: ribosomal RNA, 439 nt
Filed under: uncultured bacterium
Lineage: Bacteria
Description: partial 16S ribosomal RNA
Rfam family: Bacterial small subunit ribosomal RNA
Source: RNAcentral